RNAcentral lists this small RNA (169 nucleotides) under Gopherus agassizii (Agassiz's desert tortoise). RNAcentral describes it as "TUC338 (ENSGAGG00000007337.1)". Lineage: Eukaryota; Metazoa; Chordata; Testudines; Testudinidae. The record is from RNAcentral.
UUGACAGUGGUGGAGACUGAAGUUCUCUAUUCACAGAACAGGUAUAACAUUGGCAGUGACCCCAUGCUGUUGCUUGACAUUUUUGCCCCAGCCAGAACUUGGAGGGAUCAUCUAUUGGUAUGAUUUGAGAGCAGAAUUGUUUCAAUUGCUCAUUUAGUCUCUGUCCUUU